UUGCAAGCCGGCACGAUGGCUGCGACUGGAGUGGGCCGUCUGAGGCGGGCGGCUUCAGCCCUAUUGCUCCGGAGCCCGCACCUGCCGGCCCGGGAGCUGUCAGCUCUGGCUCGGCUCUACCACAAGAAGGUGGUUGAUCAUUAUGAAAAUCCUAGAAAUGUGGGGUCCCUUGACAAGACAUCUAAAAAUGUUGGAACUGGACUGGUGGGGGCUCCAGCAUGUGGUGAUGUAAUGAAAUUACAGAUCCAAGUGGGGAAGAUUGUGGAUGCCAGGUUUAAAACAUUCGGCUGCUGCUCCGCAAUCACCUUCAGCUCAUUAGCCACUGAGUGGGUGAAAGGGAAAACGGUGGAGGAAGCCUUGACCAUCAAAAACACACACAUCGCCAAGGAACUCUGCCUUCCUCCCAUGAAACUGUACUGCUCCAGGCUGGCUGAAGAUGCAAUCAAGGCCGCCCUGGCUGACUACAAACUGAAACAGGAACCCAAGAAAGGAGAGGCAGAGAAGAAAUGAGCCCUCGCAAAGCCUUCAAGUCAUGUCAGCUGUUUGCUCACC
Molecule: non-coding RNA, 552 nt
Organism: Microcebus murinus (gray mouse lemur)
Lineage: Eukaryota; Metazoa; Chordata; Mammalia; Primates; Cheirogaleidae
Source: RefSeq, a predicted model, not a curated record